Molecule: long non-coding RNA, 610 nt
Filed under: Physcomitrium patens
Lineage: Eukaryota; Viridiplantae; Streptophyta; Bryopsida; Funariales; Funariaceae
Description: long non-coding RNA (PPAT_LNC000910)
Source: RNAcentral
GAAUGACAACAUAACGAUCUAUGAAGCGUAGUGUGGUAAGAAGUCUUCGACAUUGCAGAAAAUACCUUUUCUGCAACGCUCCAGCUAAGUCAUCAGGUCACCUGGGGGAUGUCUGAGUGAUCAACGUCAUUGAGAUAGUGCUCCUAAGUAAAAGAGCGCUAUUGUCUUUGUCCGCAAGCAGACUUGUCAUUACUCAUACAAAUGCUUGUGAGUGAGUUUUGCUUUAUCAUAAUUCGGAGGAAAUAUCUGCAGAAUUCUGAACAAGAGUGCAGUGCUCUCUCGAUUCAUUUACUGAACUUGGAAAUCAGUUUGGCAGAUAAAUGCCUUUCUGCUUCCAUGGGUUUGAAGCAUUGUAAGCAACUUGCAACAGAUUGAAACAUGGGCUUAUCAGUAAUUAGACUGAAAAUCUCAAGUGCAGACUAAAGACAGGUUUCGUUUUAAUUAUCUUCAAGAGUGCCCUCCAGGAGUAAGUAACAAGCUCUUUAAUAUGCACGGAAUUACUAACAAAUUUUUUUACUAGAGUGAAGUUUCAGAAGAGUUCAUUAUUGUAAAUGUACUAAAUUACAAAUAGUGGAGAUACUUUUAAAUAAUUUUUUUAGGAUAUUAUUCU